Molecule: ribosomal RNA, 598 nt
Filed under: unidentified nematode
Lineage: Eukaryota; Metazoa; Nematoda
Description: SSU rRNA
Rfam family: Eukaryotic small subunit ribosomal RNA
Source: RNAcentral
UUCUGACCGUAAACGAUGCCAACUAGCGAUCCGCCGGCGGAUUCCAAACGCCCUGGUGGGGAGCUUCCCGGAAACGAAAGUCUUCCGGUUCCGGGGGAAGUAUGGUUGCAAAGCUGAAACUUAAAGGAAUUGACGGAAGGGCACCACCAGGAGUGGAGCCUGCGGCUUAAUUUGACUCAACACGGGAAAACUCACCCGGCCCGGACACCGCGAUGAUUGACAGAUUGAUAGCUCUUUCAUGAUUCGGUGGAUGGUGGUGCAUGGCCGUUCUUAGUUCGUGGAGCGAUUUGUCUGGUUUAUUCCGAUAACGAGCGAGACUCUAGCCUACUAACUAGUCCGCAUGUUCGCUUGCUGCAUGCCGGCACUUCUUAGAGGGAUUUUCGGCGUUUCAGCCGCACGAAACUGAGCAAUAACAGGUCUGUGAUGCCCUUAGAUGUCCGGGGCUGCACGCGCGCUACACUGGCGAAAUCAGCGUGCCUGUCCUCUCGCGAAAGCGACUGGUAAACCGGUGAAAAUUCGCCGUGAUUGGGAUCGGAAAUUGCAAUUAUUUUCCGUGAACGAGGAAUUCCAAGUAAGUGCGAGUCAUCAACUCGCGUUG